AGGAGUCAUCACUAAGAUUAAAAUUCUUGUUCAAAGCAGAUCUACGCAAAACUAACUCCCUUUGCCUUCAUCCUUCAGACAGCUAAGAUGCAAGGCACACCUUUCAUACCAAACUGGCUGUGGCGGUACAAGAGGCAAAGCUGUAAUCACACAGACACUUCCAAGAAGACAUGGCUGGUGCUCUGCAAACAUGCCCUUAGAAUAGUACAAAUGGGGAUGCCAGUUCUGAAUGAUUUAAAAUUGUAGAAACAAACACCAUGUGACCCACAUUAUACAUCUAGGUUCCCCAGCUACUGAAGUGUUUUUACAACCUACUUUCCAAUGUUGCUGCUUUCCCUGUAUGCCUCCGCACGGUAGACAUAGCUGAAGGGCAAAUAGGCUAUGUUUCUCAAAAAGGCUUAUUUUAUAAUUAAAGACUCAAGUGCUUCGUGUGGAACAUGAAUAAUGUAUCUUAUAAAUCUUCUUUGAUAUAUGUAUACACAA
Lacerta agilis (Sand lizard) is the source of this 483-nucleotide long non-coding RNA. RefSeq lists it as uncharacterized. The transcript is spliced from 2 exons. The record is from RefSeq and is a predicted model, not a curated record. Lineage: Eukaryota; Metazoa; Chordata; Lepidosauria; Squamata; Lacertidae.